AUUGAACGCUGGCGGCAGGCUUAACACAUGCAAGUCGAGCGGUAACAGGAGAAGCUUGCUUCUCGCUGACGAGCGGCGGACGGGUGAGUAAUACUUAGGAAUCUACCUAGUAGUGGGGGAUAGCUCGGGGAAACUCGAAUUAAUACCGCAUACGACCUAGGGGAGAAAGGGGGCAACUUGUUGCUCUCGCAAUUAGAUGAGCCUAAGUAGGAUUAGCUAGAUGGUGGGGUAAAGGCCUACAAGGGCGACGAUCUGUAGAUGGUCUGAGAGGAUGAUCAGCCACACCGGGACUGAGACAGGGCCCGGACUCCUAAGGGAGGCAGCAGUGGGGAAUAUUGGACAAUGGGGGCAACCCUGAUCCAGCCAUGCCGCGUGUGUGAAGAGGGCCUUUUGGUUGUAAAGCACUUUAAGCAGUGAAGAAGACUCUAGGGUUAAUACCCUUAGACGAUGACAUUAGCUGCAGAAUAAGCACCGGCUAACUCUGUGCCAGCCGCCGCAGUAA
This 502-nucleotide ribosomal RNA is filed under the name uncultured bacterium. Its description in RNAcentral is "partial 16S ribosomal RNA". It matches the Rfam family "Bacterial small subunit ribosomal RNA", at positions 30 to 523 of the family's 1533-position model. The record is from RNAcentral.